This 67-nucleotide transfer RNA is filed under the name uncultured Mailhella sp. It matches the Rfam family "tRNA", at positions 6 to 65 of the family's 71-position model. Rfam says of the family: Transfer RNA (tRNA) molecules are approximately 80 nucleotides in length. Lineage: Bacteria; Pseudomonadati; Thermodesulfobacteriota; Desulfovibrionia; Desulfovibrionales; Desulfovibrionaceae. The record is from RNAcentral.
UCGUAGCUCAGUAGGAUAGAGCGAUUGCCUCCUAAGCAGUAGGCCGCAGGUUCGAUUCCUGCCGGGC